This 223-nucleotide unclassified non-coding RNA is filed under the name Hevea brasiliensis (rubber tree). Lineage: Eukaryota; Viridiplantae; Streptophyta; Magnoliopsida; Malpighiales; Euphorbiaceae. The record is from RNAcentral.
AACAACAACCACGUACUAUAAUAUGACCAUUUUUACCUCUCUAUAUAUAAAGGUUAAUUAAUUACUUUAUCUGCAGAGAAGAUGAUGAGGAAUAGGAAGAAAAGAGAGACGAGUUUCUUUGAUCUUUGAUGAGGAAGUCUUCUAUUAAUUGCGAUUAUAAUCUUUUUCUGCCUUUCAUACCGUUGUUUUAUUAACCUCUAGAAGGUAGUUUCAUAAAUUUGAG